AGGAUUAUAGUUUAUAAAUAAAACUUUUGAUUUGCAUUCAAAAAAAAUUAAAUUAAUUUAAUUUAUCUUA
RNAcentral lists this transfer RNA (70 nucleotides) under Eumeta variegata. RNAcentral describes it as "Clania variegata tRNA-Ala". Lineage: Eukaryota; Metazoa; Arthropoda; Insecta; Lepidoptera; Psychidae. The record is from RNAcentral.